AACGAACGCUGGCGGCAUGCCUAACACAUGCAAGUCGAACGGGAUCCUGGCUUCGGUCAGGUGAGAGUGGCGGACGGGUGAGUAACGCGUGGGAACCUGCCCAGUGGUGGGGGAUAACUGCGGGAAACUGCAGCUAAUACCGCAUGAGCCCGAGAGGGGAAAGAUUUAUCGCCAUUGGAGGGGCCCGCGUUCGAUUAGGUAGUUGGUGAGGUAACGGCUCACCAAGCCGACGAUCGAUAGCUGGUCUGAGAGGAUGAUCAGCCUCACUGGGACUGAGACACGGCCCAGACUCCUACGGGAGGCAGCAGUGGGGAAUAUUGGACAAUGGGCGAAAGCCUGAUCCAGCAAUGCCGCGUGAGUGAUGAAGGCCUUAGGGUUGUAAAGCUCUUUUACCCGGGAUGAUAAUGACAGUACCGGGAGAAUAAGCCCCGGCUAACUCCGUGCCAGCAGCCGCGGUAAU
Molecule: ribosomal RNA, 460 nt
Filed under: uncultured bacterium
Lineage: Bacteria
Description: bacterial SSU rRNA
Rfam family: Bacterial small subunit ribosomal RNA
Source: RNAcentral